CCUCUGCGCUAGUGCUGCGGAGGAGGAAAGCGGAACAACCCCUCAUAGCCUAAGAUAAGUUCUUUCGUGUUUUGUUUGUUUUUUUUUUUUUUUUUUUUUUUUGAGACAGGGUUUCUGGGUGUAGCCCUGACUGUUCUGGAACUAGCUCUGUCGUUCAGACUGGCCUUGAGCUCACAGAGAUCCACCUGCCUCUGCGGUGAAAGGCUCGCACCCACACCACCCAGCUGCGAAAGCUGCUAACCCCACACCACGGCUUACACAGCUCCGGUCCUGUGAGCUUGUCAAGAUACCCCAGGAGUGAGAGUUCUGAAACAGAUUUGGGUGCUGCUGAAAACCUCGAGAAAACUUCGCGUUUGCAAACUCGUCAUUACCCAAGCCAAUACAGCGCUUGUGUUUCACUUCUUCGUUUUUGGCUUGAGCUCCCACCAGCAAAAUGGCAGCGGAAAACAUUCAAGCUUGCUGACUCCUGUCAAGCCCUUGGCUGCACCAGAGUCCCCACUGGAGUGACGGUAAGAGGGUAGGACAGUUAUCACCUCUGAGCUCACCUGGUUUAUGUGACAAUUAUGUCUAAGGGCUGAGUCCCAUAGUAGACACGAAGCAAACUUCUUCUGCGAUCCUCACUGGAAUCCCCAGUGUGUGAAACUAAAUCAUGUUUACUGAAGCAACACAGUGCAGUAUUCAACCUUGAGCAGUUAAGCCCUUAUCUAAAAGCACAGUAUGGUGGUAGUGGAAAAAACAUGGCUUGGAAGGACCUGGACACUUGUACUUAAAUCCCAGGUCCCAGGUCAUGAGCUCUGUAAAUUGAAUCAGGAAUGUAAUCACUCUAGAUCUUGGUAUUCAUAACACACACACACACACACACACACACACACACACACACACACACAGUGCCCCACAGAUCUACCUCUUAAUUGCUGCAUAAUCAGAACUCCUUAGCCAUUUGACUGCUAGUUGACUUAGCAGCACAUGACAGGGCAGGAAAAGGAGUUUAGGCCUGCUGUCUUCCCUUCCCACUUCUGCAUCAAAUCCUGGGCAGCAGCUGGCUGGCCUGGCCCCUGUCCCUUGACACUAGCUUUAUAUGGGCUCUGGGGAGCACCAUUUCUACCCCUACCUCUUGGGAGCCUCAGCACCCUUUGUUUGCUCUUUAACCCCCCCCCACCGCCCAUGUGAGCAGCCUUUUAUCAGUCCCAUCAUUGACACCUCCGCUCCCCCUUUUAUUUCUUUCUCGGAACCUGGCUGGUAGGGUGCACCAAACAGUUUCAAAACUACAAAGGACUAACUGUCUAAACACAGGUCGUCAAACUUCUAGUGUUCUCUGCAAGUAUUUGGGUAUAUUUUCACCAUCAGAACUAUCGUCGAAAAUGUCAAACUUUCCUGGUUGUAUCUAAGUAGUCUGAUGGCUGGAAAGAAACACCAACAGAGAGGCCAGUCAGAAAAUUUACAUUGAUUACUUUGACUAUAUCUGGCUUGCCUCUUCUUGAUUAAUUAGGAGCUCGUCAGAAAACUGGACAAUUGUCAGAACGGAUGGGUUUCUAUUCACACUUUAACUCUUCCCCUUCCAGGACCUGGUGCCCAGCCAUAGAAUAAGUAGAGAUUGAAUUUGCUUAGAUCUGAAUAGAUGUGCAUAUCCAUCUGCAUGUAGGUGUUCAUAGAGGACCUUUCCUCUAUGAAAAGAGAUGGUGGCAGCGGCUCCUUUCUUACACAGCUGAUAAGGUUUUUGCCCUUCGUGUCUCAUUGUGGAGGUGGUAUUUACUUUCGCUGUAUGAUUAUUUGUGCAUUUGUAGUUUUUCAAAGUGAAAAAUCUUAGCCUACAUAUAAUUUCUUCUUAAAAUAAUGACCUUUUUGAAGACAUCUUUUUCUCAGCAUAUUAAAAAAAGUUGUUAUUGUGACAUAUGCACGCAAACAGAGCUUUUGGGGUGCCAGUAUUUAUGUGACUAAAGUAGGAGAGUCCGAGGUUCAAGGCCAGGUAAGGUGCCUGUCAGGACCCUGUUCAUGUAACUUAAAUAUUUUUACUCCAAUUAGCAAACUUAAGAAUCUGUCUUAAGGAAGAAACAAAAGUAAUUGCUUUGUUGUUUUCAAUACUUUAUUUGUCUAGGCACAGUCUCAUGUCGUAGUAGCCUGGCCUCAAAUUUGCUGUCAGUCUAGGAUGGCUUUGAACUUCUGAUCCUCUUAUUCCACUUCCUGAGUGUUGGGAUUCUAAUAGACGUGGGUCACCUUGUGUCUUAGUUACGUUCCUAUUGUUGUACUAAGAUACCAUGACCAAUACAACUCAUAAAAGAAAGGGUUUGAUUGGGGGCACAUGGUUCUAGGGAAGCAUGACAGAAUUAAGCAGGAAUGGUACUAGAGCAGUAGGUGAGACACCGCUAUGGGCCAAAGAGAACUAACCGGAAAUAGUGCCAGCAGUUGUUGCAACCUCAAAGCCCUCCCCCAGUGAAACACAAUCUUUAACAAGGAUAUACCUCCAAAUCCUUCCCAACACUCUCACCAAAUGGGAACUAAGUAUUCAAAUAUAUGAGACCAUGGAGAAAUUCUCAUUCAAACCACCCCACCCUGCCCAGUAUAUUUGGUAAUAGAAAUCAAACUCAAGGUCUAUGAUGGUUUGAAUGAAAAUGGUCCCCCAUAGGCUCAUAGGGAGUGACACUAUUAGGAGUUGUGGCCUU
Non-coding RNA from Myodes glareolus (Bank vole), 2660 nucleotides. The record is from RefSeq and is a predicted model, not a curated record. Lineage: Eukaryota; Metazoa; Chordata; Mammalia; Rodentia; Cricetidae.